RNAcentral lists this long non-coding RNA (732 nucleotides) under Marmota monax (woodchuck). The record is from RNAcentral. Lineage: Eukaryota; Metazoa; Chordata; Mammalia; Rodentia; Sciuridae.
GUCCAGCGCUGGACACACUUGAGCAAGUGAUCAGCCAGCUGCAUAAGUUCAUGAGGUCCUUCUUCCUCUAAGGGGACUGGGAGCAGAAUGGGUCCCUAAAGUUGUUUCCUAUUCCCCAACCCCAGGUCUGCCGGGUUUCUGUUUGUGACUAAAAGGCUCAGGGGUCACUCUAGUUAAACUGGGCUAACUGGGCUGUGCAAAAUAACCACACAAGAGACACAAAUACCUUUUUCUCUGGGGUCACUGUGAUGGCUCCUCUGACCUUAAGGGUCCGCAGAAAGAGAGAGAGAGAGAGCACGCGCUGACCCCUUUUAUUGAGGAGAAGCUGUUCAAAUGAGGCAAGGGGUCAGGUUUCAGGGGGCUGAGUCUAUCUUCAUGAUGUCCACUGUCAGCAGGUUGACUGACACCUGGGUAGGCCACACCCAAGGGCACAGUAAGAGAAGGGGACACACACAAGGCACUUCCAUGGAAGAUUCUACCCUAAACAGGGCAAGGGGUUACAUUACAAAGGAACAGGUGAGCCUAGCUCCACUCUUGGGGCUGUAGGAAGACACAGUCACUCGAACCCUAGAAAGGUGGGGCAGUCUAGCAGCAUGGGUGCCUGAUGUCACAUGGCCCAGCAGGGGAGUUAACUCAGUUAUAUGCGAGGUUGGUCUCCCACACAGGUCCAGAACCAAGUCUGCUCAAGGGUUCUCCAGUCUAUUGAUUGCUAAAGAUGGGUGCGAUCAGGAG